CCUGGCGCAGCUACACAUGCAGUCGAGCGAGCUCUUCGGAGCUAGCGGCGGACGGGUUAGUAACGCGUGGGAACGUGCCCUUCACUGCGGAAUAGCCACUGGAAACGGUGAGUAAUACCGCAUACGCCCUUCGGGGGAAAGAUUUAUCGGUGAAGGAUCGGCCCGCGUUAGAUUAGAUAGUUGGUGGGGUAACGGCCUACCAAGUCUACGAUCUAUAGCUGGUUUUAGAGGAUGAUCAGCAACACUGGGACUGAGACACGGCCCAGACUCCUACGGGAGGCAGCAGUGGGGAAUCUUGGACAAUGGGCGCAAGCCUGAUCCAGCCAUGCCGCGUGAGUGAUGAAGGCCUUAGGGUCGUAAAGCUCUUUCGCCAGAGAUGAUAAUGACAGUAUCUGGUAAAGAAACCCCGGCUAACUCCGUGCCAGCAGCCGCGGUAAUACGGAGGGGGUUAGCGUUGUUCGGAAUUACUGGGCGUAAAGCGCACGUAGGCGGAUCAGAAAGUUGGGGGUGAAAUCCCGGGGCUCAACCCCGGAACUGCCUCCAAAACUCCUGGUCUUGAGUUCGAGAGAGGUGAGUGGAAUUCCGAGUGUAGAGGUGAAAUUCGUAGAUAUUCGGAGGAACACCAGUGGCGAAGGCGGCUCACUGGCUCGAUACUGACGCUGAGGUGCGAAAGUGUGGGGAGCAAACAGGAUUAGAUACCCUGGU
Molecule: ribosomal RNA, 705 nt
Filed under: Marinovum sp.
Lineage: Bacteria; Pseudomonadati; Pseudomonadota; Alphaproteobacteria; Rhodobacterales; Roseobacteraceae
Description: bacterial SSU rRNA
Rfam family: Bacterial small subunit ribosomal RNA
Source: RNAcentral